Drosophila elegans is the source of this 259-nucleotide long non-coding RNA. RefSeq lists it as uncharacterized. Lineage: Eukaryota; Metazoa; Arthropoda; Insecta; Diptera; Drosophilidae. The transcript has 2 exons. The record is from RefSeq and is a predicted model, not a curated record.
AUAUAUUUUUAACUAGGCAAAAGCUAACCAUGUCUUGGACUCAGCAAAUCUUCAUAUAUCUAUCAAUCCUCGCAAUCAAUUCAUACUAUGAUCCGAGUGCUGGUACCUGGAUCUCAGGAUAAAAAUCAUUUCAAUGUCAUUUAGUUACAUUUUUGAGUUGAAUUCAUGUAUAAUUUGUCUACCAACAUUUUAGCAAUGUGUUUUUAAAAAAAACAAGAAUAAACGUUAUAGUCGAGUGCCUCAACUAUUAGAUAUCGAA